Sus scrofa (pig) is the source of this 1465-nucleotide non-coding RNA. The record is from RefSeq and is a predicted model, not a curated record. NCBI's taxonomy places the organism in Eukaryota, Metazoa, Chordata, Mammalia, Artiodactyla, Suidae.
CCUCCAGGAAACGUGUGUGUUGCCGGGAGGGGAGGCCUCUGCAAUUCUACGGGGUUCUGCUUCUACCUGCAUUACAUGAAGUGGAAAGGAAGAAAAAGUACUCCUUGAACAGGAAUUCAGUGGCAAUGUGCUGCAUGUACCCAGCUGAUGGGCAGAACUCCCAGAUCUGCCACAACCAGAACCAAGAUCACGUCGUGAGACUUUGACCUCUGUUCUGCUCAUCACCUUCCCGCAGUGCAAGGGCUCUGUGGUUCCCAGAGACCAGGAAGAAGAACCAUCCGUCAAACAAAUACCGACACUUCCAACCUGAACAUCUUCCGAGAUGGAGAAACGGAGCCAGAAAGAUGACACGGAUGGACACUAUGUCCCUUCACACAUGAUGCCCCGGGGACGCUAUUAUGUGUUGCCUACAGGGUAUUUCCACCAAGAAUCAUAACCUGAGUCUGAUCAUGAAGAAAUUUCAGAUAAACCCCAAGGGAGGAACGUCUCAUGAAAAGAAAAGAUUGGCUAUCUCCUUCACAAAAUUUCAGAGUCAUAAAAGACAAGGACAGUAUUGGGUGAAUUUAUAAACUAAGGAGUUCCCAGAUCCGAGCUGCAGUUUCAACCUACACCACCGCUUCGGCAAUGCCGGAUCCUUUAAUCCACCGUGCUAAGCUGGGGAUCAAACCUGCAUCCUCAGCACUGCAGAGCUGCCGCCGAUCCUGUCGUGCCACAGCAGGAACUCCUCAAUUAUUUUUUCAUCAAGGGAAGCAGCAAUUGGGAAGGAAAAAAAUCCUGGCAACACCUGUUCAGAAGUUUAUGGUCAACGUCAUGAAGCUCUGGACACCUCUACUCAUGACAUUGCUCUGUGUGGUGCUACUGUCUGCGCGGGGAGCAAUAAAGGAAAAACAUAGCAACAGGGAGAAAUCGUUACUUCAGGAGUGCUGGGGACUGCCAAAUGUCCAUGAAUGUGACAAGAGGUGUUCGAGAACCUUUAGAUGUGUCGACAUCAAUCACACAUGCUGCUGGACCUACUGUGGAAACAUCUGCUGGAAGAACACUGUAAUCACUGAAAGACAACUAAAACCUUAACUUCCCCCUGGGACACCAGUCUAUUCUCAUCGAGGGCUGGGCAGCAGUAAAUCCUUGGGAAAUAAACUCAUUUGCCAACAGUGGUCUUUGGCUACUUUCCACUCCGUUCCACCACCCUUGAAUGCCGAUAUGACACCCCCCAAUAUUUUUUCCAUCUUAUAGUGUAUAGAAUUUUCUAUACCUGAUAAAAUAUGUGAGAAACGUUAAAACAGACACUAUCACACAACCUAAAUAUCCAUGACAGAUGAAUGAUUAAAGAAGAAGUGGUUCUAUUUGCAACAGCCAAGACAUUGGAAACAACCUAAAUGUCCAUCAACAAGAGGAGUGGAUCAAGAAGAUGUGGUACAUACACACAAUGGAAUAUUACUCAGCCAUUAAAAGGAACGAAAUACUG